Molecule: ribosomal RNA, 317 nt
Filed under: uncultured bacterium
Lineage: Bacteria
Description: bacterial SSU rRNA
Rfam family: Bacterial small subunit ribosomal RNA
Source: RNAcentral
GACGAACGCUGGCGGCGUGCCUAAUACAUGCAAGUAGAACGCUGACUACUUUAGCUUGCUAGAGUAGAAGGAGUUGCGAACGGGUGAGUAACGCGUAGGUAACCUGCCUACUAGCGGGGGAUAACUAUUGGAAACGAUAGCUAAUACCGCAUAACAGUGUUUAACACAUGUUAGAUGCUUGAAAGAUGCAAUUGCAUCACUAGUAGAUGGACCUGCGUUGUAUUAGCUAGUUGGUGAGGUAACGGCUCACCAAGGCGACGAUCCAUAGCCGGCCUGAGAGGGCGACCGGGCCACAUUGGGACUGAGACACGGCCCAA